GACGAACGCUGGCGGCGUGCUCCAUGCAUGCAAGUCGAGGGAGAACCAUUUCGUUCGUAAGAUCGAGAUGGGGAAACCGGCGAACGGGUGCGUAACACGUGAGAAACCUGCCCUGAAGAUCGGGAUAGCCCGGGGAAACCCGGAUUAAUACCGAAUACCUUCUUUGGAUCGCAUGAUCCGUUGAAGAAAUGCUCUGGUGCUUCAGGAUGGUCUCGCGGCCUAUCAGCUUGUUGGUGAGGUAACGGCUCACCAAGGCUCCGACGGGUAGCUGGUCUGAGAGGACGAUCAGCCACACUGGGACUGAGACACGGCCCAGACUCCUACGGGAGGCAGCAGCAGGGAAUAUUGCACAAUGGGCGCAAGCCUGAUGCAGCAACGCCGCGUGCGGGAUGAAGGCCUUCGGGUUGUAAACCGCUUUCAGUAGGGAAGAAAAUGACGGUACCUACAGAAGAAGCCCCGGCCAACUACGUG
This 471-nucleotide ribosomal RNA is filed under the name uncultured bacterium. RNAcentral describes it as "bacterial SSU rRNA". It matches the Rfam family "Bacterial small subunit ribosomal RNA", at positions 28 to 507 of the family's 1533-position model. The record is from RNAcentral.